RNAcentral lists this ribosomal RNA (417 nucleotides) under uncultured bacterium. Its description in RNAcentral is "bacterial SSU rRNA". It matches the Rfam family "Bacterial small subunit ribosomal RNA", at positions 355 to 787 of the family's 1533-position model. The record is from RNAcentral.
UGGGGAAUAUUGGGCAAUGGGCGCAAGCCUGACCCAGCAACGCCGCGUGAAGGAAGAAGGCUUUCGGGUUGUAAACUUCUUUUCUCAGGGACGAAGCAAGUGACGGUACCUGAGGAAUAAGCCACGGCUAACUACGUGCCAGCAGCCGCGGUAAUACGUAGGUGGCAAGCGUUAUCCGGAUUUACUGGGUGUAAAGGGCGUGUAGGCGGGGAAGCAAGUCAGAUGUGAAAACCACGGGCUCAACCUGUGGCCUGCAUUUGAAACUGUUUUCUUGAGUACUGGAGAGGCAGACGGAAUUCCUAGUGUAGCGGUGAAAUGCGUAGAUAUUAGGAGGAACACCAGUGGCGAAGGCGGUCUGCUGGACAGCAACUGACGCUGAGGCGCGAAAGCGUGGGGAGCAAACAGGAUUAGAUACCC